CCCCUAGUAACUGCGAGUGAAGCGGGAAANGCUCAAAUUUAAAAUCUGGCAGUCUUUGGCUGUCCGAGUUGUAAUCUAGAGAAGUGUUAUCCGCGCUGGACCGUGUACAAGUCUCCUGGAAUGGAGCGUCAUAGAGGGUGAGAAUCCCGUCUUUGACACGGACUACCAGGGCUUUGUGAUAUGCUCUCGAAGAGUCGAGUUGUUUGGGAAUGCAGCUCAAAAUGGGUGGUAAAUUCCAUCUAAAGCUAAAUAUUGGCGAGAGACCGAUAGCGAACAAGUACCGUGAGGGAAAGAUGAAAAGAACUUUGGAAAGAGAGUUAAACAGUACGUGAAAUUGCUGAAAGGGAAACGCUUGAAGUCAGUCGCGUUGUCCAGGGAUCAACCUUGCUUUUGCUUGGUGCAUUUCCUGGUUGACGGGUCAGCAUCAGUUUUGACUAUUGGAAAAAGGUUAAGGGAAUGUGGCAUCUUUGGAUGUGUUAUAGCCCUUGGUUGCAUACAAUAGUUGGGAUUGAGGAACUCAGCACGCCGAAAGGCCGGGUUUUUAACCACGUACGUGCUUAGGAUGCUGGCAUAAUGGCUUUAAUCGACCCGUCUUGAAACACGGACCAAGGAGUCUAACAUGCCUGCGAGUGUUUGGGUGGAAAACCCGAGCGCGCAAUGAAAGUGAAAGUUGAGAUCCCUGUCGUGGGGAGCAUUGACGCCCGGACCAGACCUUUUGUGACGGUUCCGCGGUAGAGCAUGUAUGUUGGGACCCGAAAGAUGGUGAACUAUGCCUGAAUAGGGUGAAGCCAGAGGAAACUCUGGUGGAGGCUCGUAGCGAUUCUGACGUGCA
This 832-nucleotide ribosomal RNA is filed under the name Cortinarius aff. persplendidus 2 FS-2012. RNAcentral's name for it is "eukaryotic LSU rRNA". It matches the Rfam family "Eukaryotic large subunit ribosomal RNA", at positions 77 to 895 of the family's 3401-position model. Lineage: Eukaryota; Fungi; Basidiomycota; Agaricomycetes; Agaricales; Cortinariaceae. The record is from RNAcentral.